CGCACUGCGCAUGGCUCAUUAUAUCAGUUAUCGUUUAUUUGAUAGUACCUUACUACUUGGAUAACCGUGGUAAUUCUAGAGCUAAUACAUGCUGAAAACCCCGACUUCCGGAGGGGUGUAUUUAUUAGAUUAAAAACCCAUGCCCUUCCGGGCUCCCUGGUGAUUCAUAAUAACUUCUCCAAUCCCACGGCCUUGCCCCCGCCAUGGUUCAUUCCAAUUUCUGCCCUAUCAACUUUCGACGGGUGGGUCUUGGCCCAACAUGGUUACCACCGGUAACCGGGAAU
RNAcentral lists this ribosomal RNA (284 nucleotides) under uncultured Ophiostoma. RNAcentral describes it as "partial 18S ribosomal RNA". It matches the Rfam family "Eukaryotic small subunit ribosomal RNA", at positions 83 to 370 of the family's 1831-position model. Lineage: Eukaryota; Fungi; Ascomycota; Sordariomycetes; Ophiostomatales; Ophiostomataceae. The record is from RNAcentral.